ACUCCAAGUAUUUUAGGCACACUGCACAGCUGGGUUAAAUAAUUACCCAAUACAUCUUGGAGAGCUGUUUGUAUAAUGCAGCAUCUUACAGAUCAUGUUAUGCCAAGGCAACUGCCAAAUGGCAGACAUGUCUGGACACCUUUCAUUUUUGUCCCAAAGGAGCCAGUUGGAUUUUCAGCUGUCAACUGGGAGACUUACUUUGACCUUCUAUUCUGCAGACUUAGAACUCCGGCUGGCUUUUUCAUCCUGUCACUGAACCGUACUAUCAGAUGAAAUGUGCCCUGGAUUGUUUGGGUCAACAGUUUGAAACAGUUUCGGCCUUUCUUGUCAUGUCCAAACAUGGACAUGGACAUGGACAGCAGACUGGCAGUGCAUAAUAAAGGGACAGUGAAGAGAGAAGAGCAGUACAUUUUCAUUCGUCAGAGGCCAUUGACUGUGUCACACUGACUGAAGAGGCAGACUUGUGAACCAUGCUGCUCUGAUUCAUCACAGUCACACACAAUACACUCCCGUGAGCAACAGUGAUACUAAACGACCGUCUUUCUCGUACCCAGAAAAAAACAUGUAAUCCCCAAGAGUGCAAUCUGAA
Long non-coding RNA from Oreochromis aureus, 589 nucleotides. RefSeq lists it as uncharacterized. The record is from RefSeq and is a predicted model, not a curated record. The transcript has 3 exons. NCBI's taxonomy places the organism in Eukaryota, Metazoa, Chordata, Actinopteri, Cichliformes, Cichlidae.